Molecule: long non-coding RNA, 244 nt
Filed under: Mytilus galloprovincialis (Mediterranean mussel)
Lineage: Eukaryota; Metazoa; Mollusca; Bivalvia; Mytilida; Mytilidae
Source: RNAcentral
UGUGUCAUGAGUACUAUUGUUUGUCUGUUUGGUUUUUUUCAUUUUAAGCCACGGCGUUGUCAGGUUUUUUUUUCGAUUUAUGAGUUUGACUGUCCCUCUGGUAUCUUUCGUCCCUUCUUUUUUUUUAACGCAGGUCAUUUAUUAUACUGUAAGAAUGACUAAGAUGUGUUUGUCACAUACUAAUUUCAUGGUCAGUCCUGUCAUGCUGUCCUAUUUUGUUUUACAUGUUUGUUUUUAUUCUGUG